Molecule: unclassified non-coding RNA, 172 nt
Filed under: uncultured Ascomycota
Lineage: Eukaryota; Fungi; Ascomycota
Description: sequence contains ITS1
Source: RNAcentral
CAAGGAACGCUGGUCCCGCCAGCAUCCUCCAACCCGGUGCGUACCAACCUUGUUGCCUUGGCGUGCCAGCGCCGUCGACGGUGCUGCCGGCCCCGGCUGGACAGCGCACGCCAGAGGAACCGUAAACUCCAGCGUUAACAGGUGUCGUCUGAGCUUAAACCUAACGUGUUUA